CUUCCUACGGGACGCAGCAGGCGAGAAUCAUUCACAAUGGGGGAAACCCUGAUGGUGCGACGCCGCGUGGGGGAAUGAAGGUCUUCGGAUUGUAAACCCCUGUCAUGUGGGAGCAAAUUAAAAAGAUAGUUCCACAAGAGGAAGAGACGGCUAACUCUGUGCCAGCAGCCGCGGUAAUACAGAGGUCUCAAGCGUUGUUCGGAAUCACUGGGCGUAAAGCGUGCGUAGGCUGUUUCGUAAUUCGUGUGUGAAAGGCGCGGGCUCAACCCGCGACCGGCACAUGAUACUGCGAGACUAGAGUAAUG
Molecule: ribosomal RNA, 305 nt
Filed under: uncultured bacterium
Lineage: Bacteria
Description: bacterial SSU rRNA
Rfam family: Bacterial small subunit ribosomal RNA
Source: RNAcentral